This 497-nucleotide ribosomal RNA is filed under the name uncultured bacterium. Its description in RNAcentral is "partial 16S ribosomal RNA". It matches the Rfam family "Bacterial small subunit ribosomal RNA", at positions 28 to 507 of the family's 1533-position model. The record is from RNAcentral.
GAUGAACGCUGGCGGCGUGCCUAAUACAUGCAAGUCGAGCGAACGGACGAGAAGCUUGCUUCUCUGAUGUUAGCGUCGGACGGGUGAGUAACACGUGGAUAACCUACCUAUAAGACUGGGGUAACUUCGGGAAACCGGAGCUAAUACCGGAUAAUAUUUUGAACCGCAUGGUUCAAAAGUGAAAGACGGUCUUGCUGUCACUUAUAGAUGGAUCCGCGCUGCAUUAGCUAGUUGGUAAGGUAACGGCUUACCAAGGCAACGAUGCAUAGCCGACCUGAGAGGGUGAUCGGCCACACUGGAACUGAGACACGGUCCAGACUCCUACGGGAGGCAGCAGUAGGGAAUCUUCCGCAAUGGGCGAAAGCCUGACGGAGCAACGCCGCGUGAGUGAUGAAGGUCUUCGGAUCGUAAAACUCUGUUAUUAGGGAAGAACAUAUGUGUAAGUAACUGUGCACAUCUUGACGGUACCUAAUCAGAAAGCCACGGCUAACUACGUG